UACGAAGGGGGCUAGCGUUGCUCGGAAUCACUGGGCGUAAAGCGCACGUAGGCGGCUUGUUAAGUCAGGGGUGAAAUCCUGGAGCUCAACUCCAGAACUGCCCUUUGAUACUGGCAAGCUUGGAGUCCGGGAGAGGUGAGUGGAACUGCGAGUGUAGAGGUGAAAUUCGUAGAUAUUCGCAAGAACACCAGUGGCGAAGGCGGCUCACUGGCCCGGUACUGACGCUGAGGUGCGAAAGCGUGGGGAGCAAACAGG
This 255-nucleotide ribosomal RNA is filed under the name uncultured bacterium. Its description in RNAcentral is "partial 16S ribosomal RNA". It matches the Rfam family "Bacterial small subunit ribosomal RNA", at positions 524 to 776 of the family's 1533-position model. The record is from RNAcentral.